Molecule: regulatory RNA element, 163 nt
Organism: Rhodococcus sp. RD6.2
Lineage: Bacteria; Bacillati; Actinomycetota; Actinomycetes; Mycobacteriales; Nocardiaceae
Rfam family: c-di-AMP riboswitch aptamer (ydaO/yuaA leader)
About the family: This family represents a conserved RNA structure found upstream of the ydaO and yuaA genes in Bacillus subtilis and related genes in other bacteria. The ydaO/yuaA element is thought to act as a genetic "off" switch for the ydaO and yuaA genes in its native state. It is believed that the element may be triggered during osmotic shock leading to activation of ydaO, a predicted amino acid transporter gene, and members of the yuaA-yubG operon which code for KtrA and KtrB K+ transporters.
Source: Rfam
CGCGAGGUACCGCCUAAUCGAACUCCCGUGAGGGACUCGAACCGGGAACCCACCGUUUUCUGGGGUGAAUCCCGACGGAGCGCACACGCGUGACGCCGGGUAGGGCUGAUCUUCCCAGCCCGAACCCGUCAGCUAACUCGGUCGGCGGAGGAAUGGAAGAAAG